GAUGAACGCUGGCGGCGUGCCUAAUACAUGCAAGUCGAGCGAACGGACGAGAAGUUUGCUUCUCUGAUGUUAGCGGCGGACGGGUGAGUAACACGUGGAUAACCUACCUAUAAGACUGGGAUAACUUCGGGAAACCGGAGCUAAUACCGGAUAAUAUUUUGAACCGCAUGGUUCAAAAGUGAAAGACGGUCUUGCUGUUACUUAUACAUGGAUCCGCGCUGCAUUAGCUAGUUGGUAAGGUAACGGCUUACCAAGGCAGCGAUGCAUAGCCGACCUGAGAGGGUGAUCGGCCACACUGGAACUGAGACACGGUCCAGACUCCUACGGGAGGCAGCAGUAGGGAAUCUUCCGCAAUGGGCGAAAGCCUGACGGAGCAACGCCGCGUGAGUGAUGAAGGUCUUCGGAUCGUAAAACUCUGUUAUUAGGGAAGAACAUAUGUGUAAGUAACUGUGCACAUCUUGACGGUACCUAAUCAGAAAGCCACGGCUAACUACGUG
Molecule: ribosomal RNA, 497 nt
Filed under: uncultured bacterium
Lineage: Bacteria
Description: partial 16S ribosomal RNA
Rfam family: Bacterial small subunit ribosomal RNA
Source: RNAcentral